GGGCAUGUGGUGGAAUUGGUAGACACGCAAGAUUUAGGAUCUUGUGCCUCACGGCGUGCGGGUUCGAGUCCCGCCUUGCCCA
Molecule: transfer RNA, 82 nt
Filed under: Kiritimatiellales bacterium
Lineage: Bacteria; Pseudomonadati; Kiritimatiellota; Kiritimatiellia; Kiritimatiellales
Also listed under: 1 other name
Description: tRNA-Leu
Rfam family: tRNA
About the family: Transfer RNA (tRNA) molecules are approximately 80 nucleotides in length. Their secondary structure includes four short double-helical elements and three loops (D, anti-codon, and T loops).
Source: RNAcentral